GAUGAACGCUGGCGGCGUGCCUAAUACAUGCAAGUCGAGCGAACAGAUGAGGAGCUUGCUCCUCUGACGUUAGCGGCGGACGGGUGAGUAACACGUGGAUAACCUACCUAUAAGACUGGGAUAACUUCGGGAAACCGGAGCUAAUACCGGAUAAUAUAUUGAACCGCAUGGUUCAAUAGUGAAAGACGGUUUUGCUGUCACUUAUAGAUGGAUCCGCGCCGCAUUAGCUAGUCGGUAAGGUAACGGCUUACCAAGGCAACGAUGCGUAGCCGACCUGAGAGGGGGAUCGGCCACACGGGAACUGAGCCACGGUCAAGACGCCUACGGGAGGCACCAGUAGGGAAUCGUCCGCAAUGGGCGAAAGCCUGACGGAGCAACGCCGCGUGAGUGAUGAAGGUCUUCGGAUCGUAAAACUCUGUUAUUAGGGAAGAACAAAUGUGUAAGUAACUAUGCACGUCUUGACGGUACCUAAUCAGAAAGCCACGGCUAACUACGUG
RNAcentral lists this ribosomal RNA (497 nucleotides) under uncultured bacterium. Its description in RNAcentral is "partial 16S ribosomal RNA". It matches the Rfam family "Bacterial small subunit ribosomal RNA", at positions 28 to 507 of the family's 1533-position model. The record is from RNAcentral.